RNAcentral lists this ribosomal RNA (695 nucleotides) under Lutibacter sp. RNAcentral describes it as "bacterial SSU rRNA". It matches the Rfam family "Bacterial small subunit ribosomal RNA", at positions 36 to 724 of the family's 1533-position model. The record is from RNAcentral. Lineage: Bacteria; Pseudomonadati; Bacteroidota; Flavobacteriia; Flavobacteriales; Flavobacteriaceae.
CUAGCGGCAGGCUUAACACAUGCAAGUCGAGGGGUAACAGAAGUAGCUUGCUAUUUGCUGACGACCGGCGCACGGGUGCGUAACGCGUAUACAAUCUACCUUUUACAGAGGAAUAGCCCAGAGAAAUUUGGAUUAAUACCUCAUAGUAUUAUAAAGUGGCAUCAUUUAAUAAUUAAAACUUCGGUGGUAAAAGAUGAGUAUGCGUUCUAUUAGCUAGAUGGUAAGGUAACGGCUUACCAUGGCAACGAUAGAUAGGGGUCCUGAGAGGGAGAUCCCCCACACUGGUACUGAGACACGGACCAGACUCCUACGGGAGGCAGCAGUGAGGAAUAUUGGACAAUGGAGGUAACUCUGAUCCAGCCAUGCCGCGUGCAGGAAGACGGCCCUAUGGGUUGUAAACUGCUUUUAUAUAGGAAGAAACCGUUCCACGUGUGGAACUCUGACGGUACUAUAUGAAUAAGCACCGGCUAACUCCGUGCCAGCAGCCGCGGUAAUACGGAGGGUGCAAGCGUUAUCCGGAAUCAUUGGGUUUAAAGGGUCCGUAGGCGGGCUAAUAAGUCAGGGGUGAAAUACCACAGCUCAACUGUGGAACUGCCUUUGAUACUGUUAGUCUUGAAUUAUAUGGAAGUAGAUAGAAUGUGUAGUGUAGCGGUGAAAUGCUUAGAGAUUACACAGAAUACCGAUUGCGAAGGCAG